Molecule: non-coding RNA, 282 nt
Organism: Peromyscus maniculatus bairdii (prairie deer mouse)
Lineage: Eukaryota; Metazoa; Chordata; Mammalia; Rodentia; Cricetidae
Source: RefSeq, a predicted model, not a curated record
CCUGAAGAGGAGCAACUUGAGGAAGGAACAGUUGAUUUGGGCUCAGUUUGAGGGGCUGCAACCCAUCUUUGUUGGGGAAGGAAUGAUGGCAGGAGUGUGAGGUGAUAGUUGAAGACAUCAUGCCCCUAGAUAUUUCAGCAUACAUUUCCUUACAAGGCUCCCUGCACUUCCUAUAGAAUAUCAUCACCAGCUUCAACUGAAUAUUACCGCAUCAUGAACGAUUUCCUUCUGAUAUGCCUCCUUCUGACUGGGCUAUUUUGAGGAUCAGCAAAUCCAGUACAA